Lotus japonicus is the source of this 2977-nucleotide long non-coding RNA. RefSeq lists it as uncharacterized. The transcript is spliced from 5 exons. NCBI's taxonomy places the organism in Eukaryota, Viridiplantae, Streptophyta, Magnoliopsida, Fabales, Fabaceae. The record is from RefSeq and is a predicted model, not a curated record.
AAUUAAAGUCUAAAAUAUUUAUUUAUAAAUAAAUAAAUUCACAUAAUUAAAAAAACACAUUGACACUGGCAAAAUUUAUUAUUAUUUAUAUAAUUGAAUAAGAAUUAUGAUAUAUAACCUUGGAAAUAUGAUGGAGCAAAUAAUUAUAAAAGAAAAGAAAUAAUCAUGGAGAAAAUAUUAAAAAAAUGCUCUAGGGAGGAGUUGAAGCAUGGACAACCAAGCCUUUGGGAAUAGGUCAAGACCAUCAAGCCAACACACAUUUCAUUAUCCGUAAAUAUAUAACAUUUACGGAUUCGCGAAUUUUUUUGCGAACCCAAUAAAUUUGUCAGCAAUUUUGGAGUCCUUGCAUGCAGAGAUUCUCUGCAAUUCGCAAAAAUUUUAGCGAAUUUAAAGUACUUUACCCCAUUUCACACUAAAUAAUUUUUUUUUCACCCCUUUUUGUUAAUUAAAUUUAUUUUUAACAUUAUUCAGAAAAAAAAAAUCAAUUAUCUUUAAUUAUUCUUUCUGAAUUAUCCAACAGUUUCAUCUUUUUAAAUCUCUACUCAACUUCUAGACAUUUCUCUCCAUUUAAUUAGUUGAUGGUGAUUUCAAUUUGAGUGGGGCACCCUCCAUUUAAUCAAUGAAUGGUUUUCUAGGCAAAUACCUCAUGUACAAUAAACAAAAGGGAAAAAGAGGAAAAAGAGCCGAGAGAUCGUAUUUGAAAUGCCUCAGAAUUUAGCUGGAGCACAUUCACAUCCCACUUUACUCAAUAAGGCUAAGCAUCAUAGUUAUUCCAAUUUGCCAAACUAGGGUUGUCAGUGUGGUACCAAACUGUCAAUUUCAUUCUUUUCUUCAUAUAUUGGCUUGGAGAGUUGAGUAUCCAAGACUGGAUUGAAUGCUACUCAUACAUACUCUCAGUCAUUCUUCUAAUGCUGGCAUGAGUUUGGUUUAACUUUAGUAAAAUUUGGCUGAACCUUGUGGAGCCAUCUCAUAUUCUCCAUUAACAAAAUAAGGAUAUAGACCAAGAAGGGCCAGCAAACAAGUGUAACUGGAUACUUGUUUCUUUCUAUUCAGUGUCCUUAUGUAAUGUAAGAUAUUAAUUGACAUAAUUAUUGUUAUGGCUUGAAAGCUUUUCAAAGUGGGUUGUUUUCCCACCAAAAAAUGGUACAUAAAUUGCAAUACUUUUCUCUGCCCAUGGUUUGUUUAUUUUAUGCUAAGGUCUCACAUUAACUACAAAUGUAAUUAAAUAUGCGUUUAUAAAAUGUAGAGCAAUUCACUGUUAAGCUAUUUCUUGGGGUAGAGUUAGACCUUACUCAAAUUCUAAAAAUCAAUAUACUCUAAGAAAAGAAACCCCUCCUGGGCCACGUGUCACGUUUUCCUUUUUUCUCUUUUACUAAAACUUUUUUCUUUUUCCUCUGAAGUUCCCGCUCUAUUUUCAGUCCAAUUCCUUUUGUUGUUUUAAAACCAUUUCAAAAACUUGACAUUAAAAAGAACUCUGCAAAAGUCAUAUCAAUUGGAAAGAGAAAUGUUAAAAAAUAAUAUUUGUUUCCUUUUCCAACACUCAUUUGCAGAACAAAAACGCACCUUCUCUCCUCUGUUUUUAAAAUUUCAGAUUCAACUCAAAAUCAUCUUCUUCUCUCCACCUUUAAUUUUUUCGUCUCUUCUCUUCCUAAAGCAGUGUUUCUUCUUCUCCUCAAACCAUUUGCUCAGUUUUUAUUUUAUUUUAUUUUUUUCCCUUCUCUUCCUAAGCUCUAUUGGUUAAACUUAACCGAGUGUUUCAUCUUCCCCCAAAACCAUCAUCAAAUGCUUUCACACAUCAAAUUAGUUUGAAAAUAUGCUUCUCUCUUCCUUCUCCCUAAACUCUGUCAUGCUGAAUCUUCGAUCUCUUUUUUCUUCCCCUUUCCGGUUACUAUAUUGUUACUGAUGUUUACUCUGCUUAUUUUGCUUAAUGUCGUUUUCCUUUACUUGCAGGAGGGACAAUUUCUUAGAGGUAUUUUUAUUUCUAAAUUUCAACUUGUCUUAGGUAAUGCACAGUAUCAAUUGAACUCUUUUUGUCAGAUGUUGGAUUGGUAUGACUCAUUGCAGGCAGAGAACUGUUCAAAAAAUAUGGAAGACUGUGAUAUAUGGCAAGUCCUUGCAGGUAUUGAUCUUGCUGGUCAGAUUGCUUUGGUUCUAAUAGCUGUGUUUUUUUUUAGCAGGUCUUAAUUUUAAUGGUCAAAGUUUUUCUGACACCUUUCAGAAGCUUUCAUUGCUAUUUAUAUUAAUACUUAAAUUGGUUUGAUUUUGUUGGUGCAUUGUUAUUUGCUCCCUCUACGAAUAUUUGCAUCCUUUUAGUGUGCAAAUGGUGAACCCCUUGAUUUAGAUGUGUUCUUAGGACAAACUCAUCUUGAAGUCAAAAGUCAGUCUACCACAAGUGACUAUGACUUGGGUGUCUUUAACUGAAUGUUGUAUUUUCUUUUCAUUUCAGUUUUUAGUGUCAAAAUUUGGCAGCACAGAUUUAUUCCAAAAAAAGAAGUGAUGAAAAACCUAAUGUUCCUUCAUGUAUCUAAUUCAUUGCUUGAAAACCUCUGGCUACCUGCUUCUUGCUAGAUCAUCCUCACGCACUAUAGUAGAGCCAUGGGAAGUACCAUCUGAAUGCUUGCUUUUUGAAAGAGUCAUGGGAAGUACCAUCUGGCUUGCUUCUGAAAUCUGGAAUGCCAUGUUGGGGCCGGCUUCACUGCUUCAUUUUUUUUAUCUUCUCCAUAGACUACAUGGAAAGAAGGAGAGCAUGUGGAACAAGAUUGUUAGGCAUGAUGAUGAAGAUAAUGGUCUGUUAUGGUAGAGCCAUUAAUAGGAGUAGAUGGUUCUUCAAGUACAACAUUGAUUUAUGGAAAAUAUUGGCUCACUCCAAAGAAUGCUUUCUAUUUGGUCAUUAUUAGUAUAUACUUAUAAUUGGAUUUCUCAUGUUUGUUCUUAGUUGUCGCUAUAAUUUAUAUUAAUCUUACAAUUUCAUUUUUUA